UCCGUGGUCAUUUAUUAGAGGCUUAUUUAAAAAUGUCUUAGUUCACAAUGCUGGUCAUAAAAUUGGCUUUUAAAUGACACUAUGAUAACAAGUCAUCCACAAACAGAUAUGACAUCUUAUAACGCCAUAAUAGCCCAGCGACCGAGGACUUGACAAUAGAUUCGGAGGGCUCUUUGGUGUUCUACGCAAUACGGAGUUGCUGUCCCGAAUGUUCUGGGUCCUCCCUGACGGAGAUGAGACGCGCUGUGUGGUGAAGGGCUCUGUUUCGGUAGUUGCAGACCUUCUGUGAGUCAGAAAAAAUGGAUGUGAUGACCUCCAGAAAUGCCUUCAGGUCUUAUAGUCUUAGGAAAACAAAAAUAUUGCACACAGCCAAAUCUAUGGCCCCAAAUCAGCAUUACUUGAGAAGAUAACCUCAGAAUUGAAAUUCAGAACUGGCACCCCAUGACCCCUACUUCUUACUAUUUAUGUUCUUCUGCUCCCUUUUUUUCUCAUGAGGUCUUUAUUGCAAAGAACAGAGAAAAGCUUCUGUCCACCCUCUAGUAGGGAACAGAAGUCUAAUCCAGGAGAAGCUGAACCCGGUAAAC
Molecule: long non-coding RNA, 584 nt
Filed under: Fukomys damarensis (Damara mole-rat)
Lineage: Eukaryota; Metazoa; Chordata; Mammalia; Rodentia; Bathyergidae
Description: lncRNA (ENSFDAG00000028606.1)
Source: RNAcentral